UGACAUGUGAUAAGAGCACCUUCCCGUUU
This 29-nucleotide non-coding RNA is filed under the name Mus musculus (house mouse). The record is from RNAcentral. Lineage: Eukaryota; Metazoa; Chordata; Mammalia; Rodentia; Muridae.